UACGGAGGGUGCAAGCGUUAAUCGGAAUUACUGGGCGUAAAGCGCGCGUAGGCGGCUUGGUCAGUCGGAUGUGAAAGCCCCGGGCUCAACCUGGGAAUUGCAUUCGAUACUGCCGAACUAGAGUAUGGGAGAGGGAAGUGGAAUUUCCGGUGUAGCGGUGAAAUGCGUAGAUAUCGGAAAGAACACCAGUGGCGAAGGCGACUUCCUGGCCCAAUACUGACGCUGAGGUGCGAAAGCGUGGGGAGCAAACAGGAUUAGAUACCCCCGGUA
This 270-nucleotide ribosomal RNA is filed under the name uncultured prokaryote. RNAcentral's name for it is "partial 16S ribosomal RNA". It matches the Rfam family "Bacterial small subunit ribosomal RNA", at positions 524 to 792 of the family's 1533-position model. The record is from RNAcentral.